GAUGAACGCUGGCGGCGUGCCUAAUACAUGCCAGUCGAGCGAACAGACGAUGAGCUUUCUCCUUUGCCGUUGGCGGCGGGCGGGUGAGUAAGACGUAGGUAACCUACCUAUAAGUCGGGGGUAAUUACGGGAAACCGCUUCUAAUACUGGCUAAUAUGUCCAACCGCAUGGUUCGAUAGUGAAAGAUGGCUUUCCUGUCUCUUAUAGCUGGACCUGCGCCGGAUUAGCUAGUUGGUAAGGUAACGGCCUACCAAGGCGACGAUCCGUAGCCGACCUGAGAGGAUGAUCAGCCACACUGGAACUGAGACACGGUCCAGACUCCUACGGGAGGCAGCAGUGGGGAAUCUUCCGCAAUGGGCGAAAGCCUGACGGAGCAACGCCGCGUGAGUGAUGAAGGUCUUCGGAUCGUAAAGCCCUGUUAUUGGGGAAGAACAAACGUAGAAGAAAAUGUCGCCGUCUUGACGGUACCUAAUCAGAAAGCCACGGCUAACUACGUG
Molecule: ribosomal RNA, 497 nt
Filed under: uncultured bacterium
Lineage: Bacteria
Description: partial 16S ribosomal RNA
Rfam family: Bacterial small subunit ribosomal RNA
Source: RNAcentral